UCGUGGAGGUCCGAACCCACGAGCGUUGAAAAGCUCGGGGAUGACUUGUGGGUAGCGGUGAAAUUCCAAUCGAGCCCGGAGAUAGCUGGUUCUCCCCGAAAUAGCUUUAGGGCUAGCCUCAAGGUGAGAGAUACGGAGGUAGAGCACUGAAUGUCCUAGGGGGUAUUGCACCUACCGAAGACUAUCAAACUCCGAAUGCCGUCAUCUUAUACUUGGGAGUCAGACUGUGGGUGAUAAGAUUCAUAGUCGAAAGGGCAACAGCCCAGAUCGUCAGCUAAGGUCCCUAAAUGUAAGUUAAGUGGUAAAGGAUGUGGGAUUGCACAGACAACCAGGAUGUUGGCUUAGAAGCAGCCACUCAUUCAAAGAGUGCGUAAUAGCUCACUGGUCGAGUGAUCCUGCGCCGAAGAUUUCCGGGGCUAAAACUUACUACCGAAGCUACGGCAUCAGUAAUGAUGGGUAGGGGAGCUUCCCAUACGGGUUGAAGCAUGACCGUAAGGACAUGUGGACAGUAUGGGAGUGAGAAUGUUGGCAUGAGUAGCGAGAUGUGGGUGAGAAUCCCACAGGCCGUAAACCCAAGGUUUCCAGGGGAAGGUUCGUCCGCCCUGGGUUAGUCGGGACCUAAGCUGAGGCCGAAAGGCGUAGGUGAUGGACAACAGGUUGAUAUUCCUGUACUACCGAUAACCGUUUGAGAGAAGGGAUGACACAGUAGGAUAAGCUAAGCACACUGUUGGUUAUGUGUGCCCAAGCAUUGAGGCAGUCAAAG
RNAcentral lists this ribosomal RNA (763 nucleotides) under Clostridioides difficile. Its description in RNAcentral is "bacterial LSU rRNA". It matches the Rfam family "Bacterial large subunit ribosomal RNA", at positions 764 to 1533 of the family's 2925-position model. The record is from RNAcentral. Lineage: Bacteria; Bacillati; Bacillota; Clostridia; Peptostreptococcales; Peptostreptococcaceae.